RNAcentral lists this ribosomal RNA (301 nucleotides) under uncultured bacterium. RNAcentral's name for it is "partial 16S ribosomal RNA". It matches the Rfam family "Bacterial small subunit ribosomal RNA", at positions 509 to 807 of the family's 1533-position model. The record is from RNAcentral.
CAGCAGCCGCGGUAAUACGGAGGAUCCAAGCGUUAUCCGGAAUUAUUGGGUUUAAAGCGCACGUAGGCGGAUAUUUAAGUCAGGGGUGAAAUCCCGCAGCUCAACUGCGGAACUGCCUUUGAUACUGGCAAGCUAGAGUGUGUCAGAGGAUGGUGGAAUUCCCGGUGUAGCGGUGAAAUGCGUAGAGAUCGGGAGGAACAUCAGUGGCGAAGGCGGCCAUCUGGGACAACACUGACGCUGAGGCACGAAAGCGUGGGGAGCAAACAGGAUUAGAUACCCCAGUAGUCCCUGUCUCUUAUAC